ACAAGAUAGUCUGCGAUUCCAGCAACUUCAUGUCUAAACUCAAUGUCAAGCAUUUUCCUCCAUGACGUGGGUGAUAAUUACAGUCUUGGGAACUGAUGACAUCAAUCCUAUACUCAUGACAGUGAGAAGGAAAUCUUGCCUAGGAGAACAUGAGGAACAUCAGCAUUUACAGGUCAGAAGCCCUCUGAAAGCUGUCUUUUCGCUGCUGUACCCCAAGUGAUUAGCACAUCAGGCACUGAAAACUGGAGACUCAAUUGACUAGGUUCAUGUGUCCACUGAGUCCUGAUUUAACUUCCAUCAAUGAGAAGGACCCUCAUUAUGAAGAAAAGGGUGAAGAAAGUAGCCUGCUUCAUUAAGCAUGCUGACAGGUGGCAGAAAGGGUCAGUACAGUGGCUCCAGGUGAACUUCUGCCUUGUGAAGACUAUUAGCAGUGGCUUUCCCUGAAAUUUCUGUACCCCUGGAUUUUCUAAAAGCCAGCAAAGAUUUCUCCUGAAUUGUUCCUUCAAUUUUUCUGACAGAUUAAUGAACAAUUUCUUGUAUAAAUUAUCUUCCUACUUGAAAUAUUUAAAGCAAUUUGUUUUCCAGAUCAAGAACUUACACAACCAUCUAGCACUUCUUUUGUCUGAUUGCCUAUUUUUUUCCCACAUAUUUCAUUUUAUAUAUACUUACACUUUUCUGAUUUUUUUUUCCAACAGUUUUAUAUCUGCG
Talpa occidentalis (Iberian mole) is the source of this 708-nucleotide long non-coding RNA. RefSeq lists it as uncharacterized. Lineage: Eukaryota; Metazoa; Chordata; Mammalia; Eulipotyphla; Talpidae. The transcript is spliced from 3 exons. The record is from RefSeq and is a predicted model, not a curated record.